This 149-nucleotide unclassified non-coding RNA is filed under the name soil metagenome. Its description in RNAcentral is "partial internal transcribed spacer 1". The record is from RNAcentral.
UAAUAAGUGUUUUAUGGCACUUUUUAAAUCCAUAUCCACCUUGUGUGCAAUGUCAGUCGAUCUCCUUCAUGGAGAUCGACCAAACAUCAACCUUUAUCUUUUAACUCUUUGUCUGGAAAAAAAUAAUUAUGAAUAAACAAUUCAAAAUA